UACGUAGGGGGCAAGCGUUGUCCGGAAUCAUUGGGCGUAAAGAGCGUGUAGGCGGCCCGGUAAGUCCGCCGUGAAAGUCCAGGGCUCAACCCUGGAAUGCCGGUGGAUACUGUCGGGCUAGAGUCCGGAAGGGGCGAGUGGAAUUCCUGGUGUAGCGGUGAAACGCGCAGAUAUCAGGAGGAACACCGAUGGCGAAGGCAGCUCGCUGGGACGGUACUGACGCUGAGGCACGAAGGCCAGGGGAGCAAACGGG
Molecule: ribosomal RNA, 253 nt
Filed under: uncultured bacterium
Lineage: Bacteria
Description: partial 16S ribosomal RNA
Rfam family: Bacterial small subunit ribosomal RNA
Source: RNAcentral